AACAAACGCUGGCGGCGUGCCUAAUACAUGCAAGUCGAACGGGGAAAGAAGCAAUAUGAGUACUAGUGGCGCACGGGUGAGUAACGCGUGGAUAAUCUGCCUUGAAGAGGGGGAUAACUAGUCGAAAGAUUAGCUAAUACCGCAUAAGACCACAAGAACUGAGGUUCAAGGGGUCAAAGGUUUUUCGCUUCAAGAUGAGUCCGCGUAAGAUUAGCUAGUUGGUGAGGUAAUGGCUCACCAAGGCAACGAUCUUUAACUGGUCUGAGAGGAUGAUCAGUCACACUGGAACUGAGACACGGUCCAGACUCCUACGGGAGGCAGCAGUAGGGAAUAUUGCACAAUGGAGGAAACUCUGAUGCAGCGACGCCGCGUGAGUGAUGAAGGCCUUCGGGUCGUAAAGCUCUGUCGCAGGGGAAUAACACAAUGAAUGUACCCUGUAAGAAAGAAUCGGCUAACUUCGUG
RNAcentral lists this ribosomal RNA (462 nucleotides) under uncultured bacterium. RNAcentral describes it as "partial 16S ribosomal RNA". It matches the Rfam family "Bacterial small subunit ribosomal RNA", at positions 29 to 507 of the family's 1533-position model. The record is from RNAcentral.